Molecule: ribosomal RNA, 180 nt
Filed under: uncultured bacterium
Lineage: Bacteria
Description: partial 16S ribosomal RNA
Rfam family: Bacterial small subunit ribosomal RNA
Source: RNAcentral
CGCAACUCCUACGGGAGGCAGCAGUGAGGAAUAUUGGUCAAUGGGCGAGAGCCUGAACCAGCCAAGUAGCGUGCAGGAUGAAGGCCCUAUGGGUUGUAAACUGCUUUUAUAAGGGAAUAAAGUGAGUCUCGUGAGACUUUUUGCAUGUACCUUAUGAAUAAGGACCGGCUAAUUCCGUGC